RNAcentral lists this long non-coding RNA (946 nucleotides) under Mus musculus (house mouse). The record is from RNAcentral. Lineage: Eukaryota; Metazoa; Chordata; Mammalia; Rodentia; Muridae.
AGCAGCCAUUCCAGGUAGCAGGGGAAUGGCCCUUCCUCACUUUCUGACGAUUUUUUUUUACGCUCUUCUGUCUUUGGGGAAAGCGGCAGGCUAAGGAAAACCGGGAAGCCACGCAGACCUCUGCCUGUGACACAGCACGUGGGCUGGCCUCUGGCAACUGACAGAGGGAACAUUGCUGCUGAUGCGAAGAAAAGUCAUCAGAGAUUCUAAAAAAUAACGACUAUGGCGGAUAAGCAAGGAGGGACAGGAGGUGACCAAGGCCACAGUGGGGAGAGACCUAGCAGAGAGAGCACCCACCUCAAUCAGGCCACAGCCGGGACGGAGGUUCUGAGCCACGUCUCCUGAGUUCAUUUACUCGGUGGAAGUCAAUCUUAAUUGUCAAUUCGAUGAGAUUUUUAAUCGCCAUGGAAACAGACCUCUGAGCAUGUCACGGAGACAGUUUCUAUAUCAGGUUAAUCGAGGUGUACAUCUGAGGUACAACAGUCUACCUCAUAGUGGCCUCUGACAGUCCAAAGCACGAGCGGUCAUUGCCAGGGCAGCUCCAUUGUCUGCCAGAGCCCUCUCUGCUCUGCUUAUAGCUGUCUCAUGCCAGCCGAGUCGCUUCAGCAUGCAGGUGCCUGCCUCUGCUCACCCCCUGUCAGUUCCCAGAUCAGAGACACCAGGAUGCCCCCCGUAAAAAAUUUUCUUCUUUAAGUUGCCUUGGUCAUUGUGUCUAAGUAGCUAAGACACCUUGCUCGGUUUUAAACUCACUCAUUCAAAACCAAAACCAUAGCUUUCAUAAACCAUUCUCUGGACUGUACAGAACAACUCCUUAAGGCAAACACAUAUCUGUGGAUUCUAUAUAUGGCCAAGCAGGUGAGUGUCUCCUUGGAUGGCUGAGAAAUCAGGUAAUGAUGAUAGACAUAAAGUACCAAAUGUCUAUGGUUCCAGGUUAACUCAUUCAAGG